Molecule: long non-coding RNA, 1385 nt
Filed under: Homo sapiens (human)
Lineage: Eukaryota; Metazoa; Chordata; Mammalia; Primates; Hominidae
Description: HSALNT0006411
Source: RNAcentral
CCGCCUCAGCCUCCCAAAGUGCUGGGAUUACAGGCGUGAGCCACGGCGUCCAGCCAAAACAAGAAACAUUUAUUUUGCCUAUUACCUGAAAAUUGGGCUGGGCUCAGUGGGGACAGCUAAUCUUCAUCCCACAUGGCAUCAGCUGGGGCAGCUCAGCUGAGGGCUGGAGGAUCCAUAUCCAAGAAGGCUCAUUCACAUGGCUGACAGAGGAUAACUUUUUUCCUCUUGUGAGUGUCAAUACUUAAUUUUGGUGUAGAGACGGGAAGCUGGAAAAUACACUAUUUAAAUUUUUCUUGGCUCUCCCUAACAUUGUGGAAACGCUCUUUCCCUAAAGACCAUGGAGUUUACCAUGAGUUGCUUAGGUUUCUUUUUACAGCAUGAUGGCUAAAUGUUACUCUUCAAGAGUAAACAUUCCAGGAGAUGGGGAGUAGAAACUGCCAGUUUUUAAAACCUCGGUUUAGAAACUGCCACAGCAACUCUUCUUUCACCAUAUUCUUUCAGUCAACCACACACAGAGCCCAGAUUCAAGGAGAGGGUACAUAGGCCCUACUUCUCAAGAGGAGUGUCAGGAAUUUUGGUGCCAUGUUUUAAAGUUUCUACAGGGUCCAAAAGCCCUCUGUGGAACCUUAGAUUUAGUAAGCUGAGAUGGAUCUUAUAGAGCUUAGAGAAAACUCUCUUGUAUAAUCAAGGGAGGCCUAGAUGACCUUCCCUCUCUUAGACUCCUCCCUGGCAAGCUAGACCAGAUCAACAGGAACACUCAAAAAGAGAAAUAAGCCAAGGAAGUUAGGAUCUCCAAGUAGCUUUGGGCCUAUUUGAUCACACUGGCAGUCACAUGGGGCCAAGCCGAGUACAUGGAAUUAAUAAAAGACACAAUACUACACUGAUGCUUGAAAAUUCAAUCCUAUUGCUUGUCCACAGUGAAAGGUCUACCACUUAGCAUCUUGAUCCUAAUUUGUCUCCAAGGAAUCCAUUUUGUCUUAGCCAUAUAUUAGUGCUCCUUGGAGGUGGCAGAGAAGCAUUGAAUUACACCUAGGGGUAAGCCACCAGAUAUGCAAUAAUAGUAUGUCCCAAUAAAUAUAUAUAGAAUAAGUGGAUGUCACCCAGUAAAGGGGCAUUUCCUAACUAUAUCCAUAGAUUGAAUCUAUAGGCUAAAUAAAUUUGAUUAAUAUCUAUUAAAUGUAUACUAUGGUGGCUCACGCCUGUAAUCCCAACACUUUGGGAGGCCAAGAUGGGUGGAUCACCUGAGCUCAGGAGUUCGAGACCAGCCUGGCCAACAUGAUGAAACCCCAUCUCUACUAAAAUACAAAUUAGCUGGGCAUUGUGGCAGGUGCCUAUAAUCCCAGCUGCUCAGGAGGCUGAGGCAGGAGAAUCACUUGAACCUGGGA